UGGGGAAUUUUGGACAAUGGGCGCAAGCCUGAUCCAGCCAUGCCGCGUGCAGGAUGAAGGCCUUUGGGUUGUAAACUGCUUUUGUACGGAACGAAAAGACUCCUUCUAAUAAAGGGGGUCCGUGACGGUACCGUAAGAAUAAGCACCGGCUAACUACGUGCCAGCAGCCGCGGUAAUACGUAGGGUGCAAGCGUUAAUCGGAAUUACUGGGCGUAAAGCGUGCGCAGGCGGUGAUGUAAGACAGUUGUGAAAUCCCCGGGCUCAACCUGGGAACUGCAUCUGUGACUGCAUCGCUGGAGUGCGGCAGAGGGGGGUGGAAUUCCGCGUGUAGCAGUGAAAUGCGUAGAUAUGCGGAGGAACACCGAUGGCGAAGGCAGCCUCCUGGGCCAGUACUGACGCUCAUGCACGAAAGCGUGGGGAGCAAACA
RNAcentral lists this ribosomal RNA (427 nucleotides) under uncultured bacterium. Its description in RNAcentral is "bacterial SSU rRNA". It matches the Rfam family "Bacterial small subunit ribosomal RNA", at positions 355 to 774 of the family's 1533-position model. The record is from RNAcentral.